CAGAGUAAGCAUGCGUGCGUUAAGGAAGCACCUCCUACGGCCAUAGCAUCCGGUGUUUCCUUUAAGUUUCGUGUGAACGGGGAGUUGUCACACGACCGAAAAGUAAUACUUGCGAUACGCUUGCUGCAUCCCGCUG
This 136-nucleotide non-coding RNA is filed under the name bovine gut metagenome. Its description in RNAcentral is "THF riboswitch". It matches the Rfam family "THF (Tetrahydrofolate) riboswitch aptamer". From Rfam's summary of the family: THF riboswitch presents a pseudoknot that joins P1-P2 and the loop of P3 and two THF binding. The record is from RNAcentral. RNAcentral also lists the same sequence under 1 other name.